Molecule: long non-coding RNA, 2289 nt
Filed under: Jatropha curcas
Lineage: Eukaryota; Viridiplantae; Streptophyta; Magnoliopsida; Malpighiales; Euphorbiaceae
Description: long non-coding RNA (JCUR_LNC001245)
Source: RNAcentral
ACGCAGUUUGCAAUCCAUCUUCAUCAUGCGGAAGAAAUAUUACAGAAAAAACUCAAAUCAUGAAAUCUUACAAAGACAUCCUAUCAGGUACUUUUACUACUUCUAUUCCUAUCAAAUCUGGAAGUAAGCAUAAGGGCGUUCCCUCUAUAUCUUUCUGUAAAGAGGAAGUCUCCAUCUUGGCUCAAUGCUUCUCCUUAGCAUUGGUAGCAUCCUUCUCACAAGACCGGCCGUCCUUGGCUUCUUUGAAAACUUGGUUCGAGAAGGUUGGCUUUACGGGAGGACCAUCUAUUGGGCUUCUUGAUGACAGGCACAUUCUGCUGAACUUCACCUCCCAUGAAGAUUACCAGCGAUGCUUUCUUAGGCGUAACUGGACUGUGCAAAAAUUCCCCAUGAAAAUUACCAAAUGGUCUCCGGACUUUGAUCCUAGGUUUGACAAUCCAAUUGUGCCUGUUUGGGUCUCUCUCCAACAUCUUCCAAUCCACUUACACGACAGAAAUGCAUUGUUCUCCAUUGCAAGCCUGCUAGGUACGCCUAUUACCCUUGAUGCUGCAACUGCUUCUUUCUCUAGACCAUCUACUGCACGUUUCUGUGUUGAAAUGGAUAUAUCCUCAGAACUACCUCAAAAAAUAAGGGUAAUGAAUGGGGACACAGAGCUUUACCUAUAUCCCAACUAUGAAAAAGUCCCAUUCUUUUGCAAAACCUGUCAUCAGAUUGGUCAUCAAGAAUCAUCAUGCAGAAAACUCAUAACAGAUGUUCAAUCCAGUGAACCAAGAUCGGAAGCUGCCAAACAUAAGGCAGCAAAUCAAUCUACACAGUUGCCAGGCACAGAAAAGCACUGGGUCCCAAAAGUCACCAAGAAUAAUGUGCAAACAGAAAAGUCCACACUGGACACAAUAAUUCAAAAUAAUACAGAGCAAAAGUCCAACGUGGACACUGUAGCACAGCAUGCUAAUGAGAAAACAGUGCAGUCCAACCUUGAUACAGUAACUCAAGAGAAUCAUUUGACUACCACUUUGGAGAUUAUCGAGGCUAAAAUUCAAAACAAUUCAAUCGAGGUGGUCCCUACUGAAGACAAUAUGGUACAUGAUGAUCAAUUACCUCUUCUCUCAAAUAAUGAAGGUGAAAAUCCCCUGAAAGUUCUGGAUAAUCCUCUUAGCUCCUGGAGUCAUCAAGCAAUAUUGGUACCCAGUGAACCUGCAUACACAGAAAAUAAUUGCAAUGAUGGUCACAUUGAAGACAUUUCUACAUCCCUCACCAAACUCAAUCAGGAAGAGCAGGAACUCAUCAAAGCAAUGCCAGCUCAAAUCAACCUGGACAGAGAGGCAGAAGAAUUUAGUAAAGAUGAUAAUACUACUACAGAGGACACUAAUACUCUGGUAAGACUUGCCACUAGUGAUACUGAAUUUGAUGGGAAGAUGCAUCAUAGAAGAAAGCAACAAUCUAGCAGAAUAUGCACCCGGAGUAUGGCACAAGCUUCUACCCUCACCCAUACCUCAUGAAUUGUUUAUUCUGGAAUGUAUGUGGUGGUAUUCGAAGAAAUGGGAGGAUCUGGAGAAGAAUUGACAGAGUAUUCCACAACCUUCCAAUGACAGACAUUUUCCCCAACCUUACCACUCAAAUUCUAGCCAGAGGAACCUCAGAUCAUAAUCCCUUACUCUUGAAAGGUUGGCUGCCUCAGGGAUAGGGACCAAAAAGCUUCAGAUUUCUUAAUGUUUGGACUUCCCAUCACUCAUUUCAUGACACUGUUAAGAAAAGUUGGGACUCUAAUCCUCCUUGUAAUGGCAUGCAUGGUCUAAUGCUCAAGCUUAAAUUUCUUAAAGAAACACUCAGAAGAUGGAACUCAGAGGUCUUUGGGAAUAUUUUUGACAAAAUUAACAGGGCAGAAAUAACAGCCAGGGAGGCAGAAAUAAUUUUUGAAAAUAAUCCAACAGCAGCAAACAGAGCUCUAGCAUUCCAAAGAAGGGCAGAACUGACAAAAGCAACUAAUGAGGAGUACUACUACUGGAAACAAAAGGCAAAUGUGAAGUGGCUUAAGGAAGGUGAUGCAAAUACAAAAUUCUACCAUAACCUAACCAAAGAAAAAAGAAGACAGCAAGCUAUCUUAACCAUUAAAAGGGAGGAUGGAACAUGGACUGAUAAUCAAGAUGAAAUCAAAGAGGAGGCCAUCCAAUUUUUCUCUAAUCUGUACCAAUUUCAACCAGUGGAGGAAGAUGAGGAUUUCUUCUCAAGUAUACCAAGGAUCAUCACACAAGAAGAUAACUCACAUUUGUUAUCCAUCCCAAAUGAAAA